AGAGUUUGAUCAUGGCUCAGAUUGAACGCUGGCGGCAGGCCUAACACAUGCAAGUCGAACGGUAACAGGAAACAGCUUGCUGUUUCGCUGACGAGUGGCGGACGGGUGAGUAAUGUCUGGGAAACUGCCUGAUGGAGGGGAUAACUACUGGAAACGGUAGCUAAUACCGCAUAACGUCGCAAGACCAAAGAGGGGGACCCUCGGGCCUCUUGCCAUCGGAUGUGCCCAGAUGGGAUUAGCUUGUUGGUGGGGUAACGGCUCACCAAGGCGACGAUCCCUAGCUGGUCUGAGAGGAUGACCAGCCACACUGGAACUGAGACACGGUCCAGACUCCUACGGGAGGCAGCAGUGGGGAAUAUUGCACAAUGGGCGCAAGCCUGAUGCAGCCAUGCCGCGUGUAUGAAGAAGGCCUUCGGGUUGUAAAGUACUUUCAGCGGGGAGGAAGGGAGUAAAGUUAAUACCUUUGCUCAUUGACGUUACCCGCAGAAGAAGCACCGGCUAACUCCGUGCCAGCAGCCGCGGUAAUACGGAGGGUGCAAGCGUUAAUCGGAAUUACUGGGCGUAAAGCGCACGCAGGCGGUUUGUUAAGUCAGAUGUGAAAUCCCCGGGCUCAACCUGGGAACUGCAUCUGAUACUGGCAAGCUUGAGUCUCGUAGAGGGGGUAGAAUUCCAGGUGUAGCGGUGAAAUGCGUAGAGAUCUGGAGGAAUACCGGUGGCGAAGGCGGCCCCCUGGACGAAGACUGACGCUCAGGUGCGAAAGCGUGGGGAGCAAACAGGAUUAGAUACCCUGGUAGUCCACGCCGUAAACGAUGUCGACUUGGAGGUUGUGCCCUUGAGGCGUGGCUUCCGGAGCUAACGCGUUAAGUCGACCGCCUGGGGAGUACGGCCGCAAGGUUAAAACUCAAAUGAAUUGACGGGGGCCCGCACAAGCGGUGGAGCAUGUGGUUUAAUUCGAUGCAACGCGAAGAACCUUACCUGGUCUUGACAUCCACGGAAGUUUUCAGAGAUGAGAAUGUGCCUUCGGGAACCGUGAGACAGGUGCUGCAUGGCUGUCGUCAGCUCGUGUUGUGAAAUGUUGGGUUAAGUCCCGCAACGAGCGCAACCCUUAUCCUUUGUUGCCAGCGGUCCGGCCGGGAACUCAAAGGAGACUGCCAGUGAUAAACUGGAGGAAGGUGGGGAUGACGUCAAGUCAUCAUGGCCCUUACGACCAGGGCUACACACGUGCUACAAUGGCGCAUACAAAGAGAAGCGACCUCGCGAGAGCAAGCGGACCUCAUAAAGUGCGUCGUAGUCCGGAUUGGAGUCUGCAACUCGACUCCAUGAAGUCGGAAUCGCUAGUAAUCGUGGAUCAGAAUGCCACGGUGAAUACGUUCCCGGGCCUUGUACACACCGCCCGUCACACCAUGGGAGUGGGUUGCAAAAGAAGUAGGUAGCUUAACCUUCGGGAGGGCGCUUACCACUUUGUGAUUCAUGACUGGGGUGAAGUCGUAACAAGGUAACCGUAGGGGAACCUGCGGUUGGAUCACCU
Molecule: ribosomal RNA, 1528 nt
Filed under: Escherichia coli
Lineage: Bacteria; Pseudomonadati; Pseudomonadota; Gammaproteobacteria; Enterobacterales; Enterobacteriaceae
Description: bacterial SSU rRNA
Rfam family: Bacterial small subunit ribosomal RNA
Source: RNAcentral